UUGGUGUUCGCUUCCCGUUUCCUUUGUUCAAAGCACAGCUUCCUGUCAGUAUGACGAUCAACUCAUCAACUACUGAUUUCUCGCUUCUGUUUACGCUUUUUCUAUAGUUCACCUUUUUUCUUUCCGUCAGCUUCCCGCUCUUAUCACAUGUUCCGCCGCUGCACCGCGCUUCGUGCCAUGCCUGCACAUCUUUGGCGCCUUAACCACGUUGCCAUCGCUGUUCCUGCUAGUCGUAGCCUCGUAGAGGCUGGCGAGAUGUACACGCGCAUCUUUAACGCCAAGGUCAGCGAACCGGUGAAACAGGAGGCGCACGGGGUCAUCACAGUCUUUGUAGAGCUGGCGAACACAAAGAUUGAGCUGCUUCACCCUCUCGGCGACAACAGUCCCAUUUCGGCCUUCUUGGAGCGCAACAAGGACGGAGGUAUGCACCACAUCUGCCUUGAAGUCCCAGAUAUCGCAGCGGCAAUGCAAAUAUGCAAGGAGGCAAAUAUUCGCUGUCUUGGCACGGCACCGAAGAUCGGUGCUCACGGCAACCCUGUGAUCUUCCUCCACCCAAAAGACUGCGGCGGAGUCCUCACCGAGCUCGAAGAGGUGAAAUCAUGAGACGCUUUCUGUUCCCGAGUUGUGCGGCCCUUGCUAAAAAAGGUUUUUUUUUGUUUCUGCUGUCUUGCACUCCUUGCCGGGCGUUUUUUCUGUCUUUUUUGCUUCUCUGCCCCCUCCCCCCUCUCCCUCCGGCAGUGCCAUUUCUUGGGUGCCUGUGCGCGUGCCCGUGCCUUAAUGCUGCCUCCCUGAAAACGAGAAAAUACUGUACUCCUCUGCUGGUGUUACGAAAAGCACACGAACCACGUUCCUUCCCGACUGUAUGAGCUGAUGCAUUUCCUUCUUGGCCGUACCUGCCUUAUUAAGCCUUUUUUACAUUUCCAUACUUCUUCUCCGAUCUUUGCAAUUCUUGACUACCACGUUUGUUACGCUGCCACUCGUAUCUAU
Molecule: unclassified non-coding RNA, 987 nt
Filed under: Leishmania donovani
Lineage: Eukaryota; Euglenozoa; Kinetoplastea; Trypanosomatida; Trypanosomatidae
Description: gene:LdHU3.26.0040(CDS-product:methylmalonyl-coa_ epimerase-like_protein)
Source: RNAcentral